This 429-nucleotide ribosomal RNA is filed under the name Chloroflexota bacterium. RNAcentral's name for it is "Chloroflexi bacterium partial 16S ribosomal RNA". It matches the Rfam family "Bacterial small subunit ribosomal RNA", at positions 355 to 776 of the family's 1533-position model. The record is from RNAcentral. Lineage: Bacteria; Bacillati; Chloroflexota.
UGGGGAAUAUUGCACAAUGGGCGCAAGCCUGAUGCAGCCAUGCCGCGUGUAUGAAGAAGGCCUUCGGGUUGUAAAGUACUUUCAGCGGGGAGGAAGGGAGUAAAGUUAAUACCUUUGCUCAUUGACGUUACCCGCAGAAGAAGCACCGGCUAACUCCGUGCCAGCAGCCGCGGUAAUACGGAGGGUGCAAGCGUUAAUCGGAAUUACUUGGCGUAAAGCGCACGCAGGCGGUUUGUUAAGUCAGAUGUAAAAUCCCCGGGCUCAACCUGGGAACUGCAUCUGAAACUGGCAAGCUUGUGUCUCGUAGAGGGGGGUAGAAUUCAAGGUGUGGCAGUGAAAUGCGUAGAGAUCUGGAGGAAUAACGGUGGCGAAGGCGGCCCCCUGGACGAAGACUGACGCUCAGGUGCGAAAGAGUGGGGAGCAAACAGG